GGAUGUGAGGGCAUUCUGGCUGGGACAUCAGUCGCCCCAUUGAUCAUCAUAGUUGAUUUGGCUGCUGUGGUCGGCUCUCAUGGCUUCAUGUGCUUCCCCCCCUGAAGCUAAAUACAUGCUUGGCCCCACAUGGCGGGCAAUAGCCUCCCCAUGAGUAAAGGAAGAUGGGUCUUUGUUCAAGGACACAUGAGUAGUGAACUCCUGUGCUAGAACCUUCAAACAAGUUCCCAACUAGUUGAACUUAUAUUCUUACUUAAAAUGCAUAUUUAAAAGCUGCAAAAUUGUAUUUAUUGUUGCUAUAU
Cricetulus griseus (Chinese hamster) is the source of this 302-nucleotide unclassified non-coding RNA. Its record names the gene 7SK. It matches the Rfam family "7SK RNA". Rfam says of the family: 7SK was discovered as an abundant small nuclear RNA in the mid-70s but a possible function has only recently been suggested. Two independent studies have found that 7SK RNA binds the CDK9/cyclin T complex (known as elongation factor P-TEFb). NCBI's taxonomy places the organism in Eukaryota, Metazoa, Chordata, Mammalia, Rodentia, Cricetidae. The record is from Ensembl.